Molecule: transfer RNA, 72 nt
Filed under: Rhizopus microsporus
Lineage: Eukaryota; Fungi; Mucoromycota; Mucoromycetes; Mucorales; Rhizopodaceae
Also listed under: 1 other name
Description: tRNA-Arg
Rfam family: tRNA
About the family: Transfer RNA (tRNA) molecules are approximately 80 nucleotides in length. Their secondary structure includes four short double-helical elements and three loops (D, anti-codon, and T loops).
Source: RNAcentral
GCUUACCUAGUUCAAUCGGUAGAACAAAGUACUUCUAAUACUUUUAUCUAGGUUCGAAACCUAGGGUAAGCU